GGGUUGUGAGGUUAAGCGACUAAGCGUACACGGUGGAUGCCCUGGCAGUCAGAGGCGAUGAAGGACGUGCUAAUCUGCGAAAAGCGUCGGUAAGGUGAUAUGAACCGUUAUAACCGGCGAUGUCCGAAUGGGGAAACCCAGUGCAAUUCGUUGCACUAUCGUUAACUGAAUACAUAGGUUAACGAGGCGAACCGGGGGAACUGAAACAUCUAAGUACCCCGAGGAAAAGAAAUCAACCGAGAUUCCCCCAGUAGCGGCGAGCGAACGGGGAGCAGCCCAGAGUCUGAAUCAGCUUGUGUGUUAGUGGAACGGUCUGGAAAGUCCGACGGUACAGGGUGAUAGUCCCGUACACCAAAAUGCACAGGCUGUGAACUCGAAGAGUAGGGCGGGACACGUGGUAUCCUGUCUGAAUAUGGGGGGACCAUCCUCCAAGGCUAAAUACUCCUGACUGACCGAUAGUGAACCAGUACCGUGAGGGAAAGGCGAAAAGAACCCCGGCGAGGGGAGUGAAAAAGAACCUGAAACCGUGUACGUACAAGCAGUGGGAGCCCCACCACCAAAGCAUUCUCUGGUGUUGAAGGCCCUGCAGAGCAGCAUCGCGGUGGCGGAGCGUCGUUUGCGACGCCCAACACACAAAACAAGCGGUGAGUGCUUUGGGGUGGGGUGACUGCGUACCUUUUGUAUAAUGGGUCAGCGACUUAUAUUCUGUAGCAAGGUUAACCGUAUAGGGGAGCCGCAGGGAAACCGAGUCUUAACUGGGCGUUAAGUUGCAGGGUAUAGACCCGAAACCCGGUGAUCUAGCCAUGGGCAGGUUGAAGGUUGGGUAACACUAACUGGAGGACCGAACCGACUAAUGUUGAAAAAUUAGCGGAUGACUUGUGGCUGGGGGUGAAAGGCCAAUCAAACCGGGAGAUAGCUGGUUCUCCCCGAAAGCUAUUUAGGUAGCGCCUCGUGAACUCAUCUUCGGGGGUAGAGCACUGUUUCGGCUAGGGGGUCAUCCCGACUUACCAACCCGAUGCAAACUACGAAUACCGAAGAAUGUUAUCACGGGAGACACACGGCGGGUGCUAACGUCCGUCGUGAAGAGGGAAACAACCCAGACCGCCAGCUAAGGUCCCAAAGUCAUGGUUAAGUGGGAAACGAUGUGGGAAGGCACAGACAGCCAGGAUGUUGGCUUAGAAGCAGCCAUCAUUUAAAGAAAGCGUAAUAGCUCACUGGUCGAGUCGGCCUGCGCGGAAGAUGUAACGGGGCUAAACCAUGCACCGAAGCUGCGGCAGCGACACUAUGUGUUGUUGGGUAGGGGAGCGUUCUGUAAGCCUGCGAAGGUGUGCUGUGAGGCAUGCUGGAGGUAUCAGAAGUGCGAAUGCUGACAUAAGUAACGAUAAAGCGGGUGAAAAGCCCGCUCGCCGGAAGACCAAGGGUUCCUGUCCAACGUUAAUCGGGGCAGGGUGAGUCGACCCCUAAGGCGAGGCCGAAAGGCGUAGUCGAUGGGAAACAGGUUAAUAUUCCUGUACUUGGUGUUACUGCGAAGGGGGGACGGAGAAGGCUAUGUUAGCCGGGCGACGGUUGUCCCGGUUUAAGCAUGUAGGCUGGUUAUCCAGGCAAAUCCGGAUAAUCAAGGCUGAGGUGUGAUGACGAGGCACUACGGUGCUGAAGUAACAAAUGCCCUGCUUCCAGGAAAAGCCUCUAAGCAUCAGGUAACAUUAAAUCGUACCCCAAACCGACACAGGUGGUCAGGUAGAGAAUACCAAGGCGCUUGAGAGAACUCGGGUGAAGGAACUAGGCAAAAUGGUGCCGUAACUUCGGGAGAAGGCACGCUGGUGUGUAGGUGAAGUCCCUGCGGAUGGAGCUGAGACCAGUCGAAGAUACCAGCUGGCUGCAACUGUUUAUUAAAAACACAGCACUGUGCAAACACGAAAGUGGACGUAUACGGUGUGACGCCUGCCCGGUGCCGGAAGGUUAAUUGAUGGGGUUAUCCGUAAGGAGAAGCUCUUGAUCGAAGCCCCGGUAAACGGCGGCCGUAACUAUAACGGUCCUAAGGUAGCGAAAUUCCUUGUCGGGUAAGUUCCGACCUGCACGAAUGGCGUAAUGAUGGCCAGGCUGUCUCCACCCGAGACUCAGUGAAAUUGAACUCGCUGUGAAGAUGCAGUGUACCCGCGGCAAGACGGAAAGACCCCGUGAACCUUUACUAUAGCUUGACACUGAACAUUGAGCCUUGAUGUGUAGGAUAGGUGGGAGGCUUUGAAGCGUGGACGCCAGUCUGCGUGGAGCCAACCUUGAAAUACCACCCUUUAAUGUUUGAUGUUCUAACGUUGGCCCCUGACCGGGGUUGCGGACAGUGUCUGGUGGGUAGUUUGACUGGGGCGGUCUCCUCCCAAAGCGUAACGGAGGAGCACGAAGGUUAGCUAAUCCUGGUCGGACAUCAGGAGGUUAGUGCAAUGGCAUAAGCUAGCUUGACUGCGAGCGUGACGGCGCGAGCAGGUGCGAAAGCAGGUCAUAGUGAUCCGGUGGUUCUGAAUGGAAGGGCCAUCGCUCAACGGAUAAAAGGUACUCCGGGGAUAACAGGCUGAUACCGCCCAAGAGUUCAUAUCGACGGCGGUGUUUGGCACCUCGAUGUCGGCUCAUCACAUCCUGGGGCUGAAGUAGGUCCCAAGGGUAUGGCUGUUCGCCAUUUAAAGUGGUACGCGAGCUGGGUUUAGAACGUCGUGAGACAGUUCGGUCCCUAUCUGCCGUGGGCGCUGGAGAAUUGAGGGGGGCUGCUCCUAGUACGAGAGGACCGGAGUGGACGCAUCACUGGUGUUCGGGUUGUCAUGCCAAUGGCACUGCCCGGUAGCUAAAUGCGGAAGAGAUAAGUGCUGAAAGCAUCUAAGCACGAAACUUGCCCCGAGAUGAGUUCUCCCUGAGACUUUAAGUCUCCUGAAGGAACGUUGAAGACGACGACGUUGAUAGGCCGGGUGUGUAAGCGCAGCGAUGCGUUGAGCUAACCGGUACUAAUGAACCGUGAGGCUUAACCUUACAACGCCGAAG
Molecule: ribosomal RNA, 3027 nt
Filed under: Klebsiella pneumoniae
Lineage: Bacteria; Pseudomonadati; Pseudomonadota; Gammaproteobacteria; Enterobacterales; Enterobacteriaceae
Description: bacterial LSU rRNA
Rfam family: Bacterial large subunit ribosomal RNA
Source: RNAcentral